This 76-nucleotide transfer RNA is filed under the name Alphaproteobacteria bacterium. RNAcentral describes it as "tRNA-Lys". It matches the Rfam family "tRNA". From Rfam's summary of the family: Transfer RNA (tRNA) molecules are approximately 80 nucleotides in length. Their secondary structure includes four short double-helical elements and three loops (D, anti-codon, and T loops). The record is from RNAcentral. Lineage: Bacteria; Pseudomonadati; Pseudomonadota; Alphaproteobacteria. RNAcentral also lists the same sequence under 2 other names.
GGGCCGGUAGCUCAGUUGGUAGAGCACGGGACUUUUAAUCUCGCGGCCCCGGGUUCGAGUCCCGGCCGGCUCACCA